Molecule: ribosomal RNA, 253 nt
Filed under: uncultured bacterium
Lineage: Bacteria
Description: partial 16S ribosomal RNA
Rfam family: Bacterial small subunit ribosomal RNA
Source: RNAcentral
UACGAAGGGGGCUAGCGUUGCUCGGAAUCACUGGGCGUAAAGGGUGCGUAGGCGGGGCUUUAAGUCAGGGGUGAAAUCCUGGGGCUCAACUCCAGAACUGCCUUUGAUACUGAAGAUCUUGAGUUCGGGAGAGGUGAGUGGAACUGCGAGUGUAGAGGUGAAAUUCGUAGAUAUUCGCAAGAACACCAGUGGCGAAGGCGGCUCACUGGCCCGAUACUGACGCUGAGGCACGAAAGCGUGGGGAGCAAACAGG